RNAcentral lists this unclassified non-coding RNA (334 nucleotides) under soil metagenome. RNAcentral describes it as "partial contains 5.8S ribosomal RNA, internal transcribed spacer 2, and large subunit ribosomal RNA". The stretch from base 1 to 120 matches the Rfam family "5.8S ribosomal RNA", at positions 35 to 154 of the family's 154-position model. The record is from RNAcentral.
GAUGAAGAACGUAGCGAAAUGCGAUAAGUAAUGUGAAUUGCAGAAUUCAGUGAAUCAUCGAAUCUUUGAACGCACAUUGCGCCCGCUAGUAUUCUGGCGGGCAUGCCUGUUCGAGCGUCAUUUCAACCAUCAAGCUCCUUAGCUUGUGUUGGGGACCUGCGGCUGCCGCAGCCCCCGAAAUGCAGUGGCGGGCUCGUUGUCACACCGAGUGCAGUAAUCAUUCUUCUCUCCGGGCGUGGCGGCGGGUUCCGGCCGUAAAAUCACCAAUUUAUCAAGGUUGACCUCGGAUCAGGUAGGAAUACCCGCUGAACUUAAGCAUAUCAUAAGCGGAGGA